RNAcentral lists this ribosomal RNA (465 nucleotides) under Vreelandella stevensii. Its description in RNAcentral is "partial 16S ribosomal RNA". It matches the Rfam family "Bacterial small subunit ribosomal RNA", at positions 338 to 795 of the family's 1533-position model. Lineage: Bacteria; Pseudomonadati; Pseudomonadota; Gammaproteobacteria; Oceanospirillales; Halomonadaceae. The record is from RNAcentral.
CCUACGGGGGGCUGCAGUGGGGAAUAUUGGACAAUGGGGGGAACCCUGAUCCAGCCAUGCCGCGUGUGUGAAGAAGGCCCUCGGGUUGUAAAGCACUUUCAGUGAGGAAGAACGCCUGGUGGUUAAUACCCAUCAGGAAAGACAUCACUCACAGAAGAAGCACCGGCUAACUCCGUGCCAGCAGCCGCGGUAAUACGGAGGGUGCGAGCGUUAAUCGGAAUUACUGGGCGUAAAGCGCGCGUAGGUGGCUUGAUAAGCCGGUUGUGAAAGCCCCGGGCUCAACCUGGGAACGGCAUCCGGAACUGUCAAGCUAGAGUGCAGGAGAGGAAGGUAGAAUUCCCGGUGUAGCGGUGAAAUGCGUAGAGAUCGGGAGGAAUACCAGUGGCGAAGGCGGCCUUCUGGACUGACACUGACACUGAGGUGCGAAAGCGUGGGUGGCAAACAGGAUUAGAUACCCCUGUAGUC